This 458-nucleotide ribosomal RNA is filed under the name Demopheles corruptor. Its description in RNAcentral is "eukaryotic LSU rRNA". Lineage: Eukaryota; Metazoa; Arthropoda; Insecta; Hymenoptera; Ichneumonidae. The record is from RNAcentral.
CCUGAUAACCCCAAAAGAUCGAAUGGGGAGAUUCAUCGUCAGCGAUUUUGGUGCGUGUGCGGCUCGCGAUGCAGGUGACUUCGGUCUCAUUGUACGCGUCCGCAUGUUUUUUAUUGCCAUUAUCGUCGGCGUGCACUUCUCCCCUAGUAGGACGUCGCGACCCGUUGGGUGUCGGUCUACGGCCCCGGUGUGUAGCCUGUCACGUGUGCGCUUCACGGCGUUACGCGGUACAGACACCCGGUUGCCCGACCGGCUGCCCGGCGGNACUCGCACGGNAUCUGGCCNCAAANAUUCNAACUGCGUCCGGCCCGUCGCAAGCAAGGCAAGNGUUCUCCCGGCUGUACGGAUCUAAUGCCGUCAACCUGCCUUGCCAGCUGUUGUCUGACGGUGUCCUAGGACAGGCUAACCAAUAAAUUAUNAUACCGGUCGGCGACNCUACUGCUUUGGGUACUUUCAGG